GAUGAACGCUGGCGGCGUGCCUAAUACAUGCAAGUCGAGCGAACAGAUGAGGAGCUUGCUCCUCUGACGUUAGCGGCGGACGGGUGAGUAACACGUGGAUAACCUACCUAUAAGACUGGGAUAACUUCGGGAAACCGGAGCUAAUACCGGAUAAUAUAUUGAACCGCAUGGUUCAAUAGUGAAAGACGGUUUUGCUGUCACUUAUAGAUGGAUCCGCGCCGCAUUAGCUAGUUGGUAAGGUAACGGCUUACCAAGGCAACGAUGCGUAGCCGACCUGAGAGGGUGAUCGGCCACACUGGAACUGAGACACGGUCCAGACUCCUACGGGGGGCAGCAGUAGGGAAUCUUCCGCAAUGGGCGAAAGCCUGACGGAGCAACGCCGCGUGAGUGAUGAAGGUCUUCGGAUCGUAAAACUCUGUUAUUAGGGAAGAACAAAUGUGUAAGUAACUAUGCACGUCUUGACGGUACCUAAUCAGAAAGCCACGGCUAACUACGUG
Molecule: ribosomal RNA, 497 nt
Filed under: uncultured bacterium
Lineage: Bacteria
Description: partial 16S ribosomal RNA
Rfam family: Bacterial small subunit ribosomal RNA
Source: RNAcentral